GGGGCUGAAGUUUGGUUGAGGGAGCGCCUGAAUGGCAUUCAGGAGGUCGUCGGAUCGAUCCCGAUCAGCUCCACCA
This 76-nucleotide transfer RNA is filed under the name Deltaproteobacteria bacterium. RNAcentral's name for it is "tRNA-Ala". It matches the Rfam family "tRNA". Rfam says of the family: Transfer RNA (tRNA) molecules are approximately 80 nucleotides in length. Their secondary structure includes four short double-helical elements and three loops (D, anti-codon, and T loops). The record is from RNAcentral. Lineage: Bacteria; Pseudomonadati; Myxococcota; Myxococcia.